CGGGGAGGUAGUGACGAAAAAUAACGAUACGGGACUCAUCCGAGGCCCCGUAAUCGGAAUGAGUACACUUUAAAUCCUUUAACGAGGACCAAUUGGAGGGCAAGUCUGGUGCCAGCAGCCGCGGUAAUUCCAGCUCCAAUAGCGUAUAUUAAAGUUGUUGCGGUUAAAAAGCUCGUAGUUGAAUCUGUGUGUCACAGUGUCGGUUCACCGCUCGCGGUGUUUAACUGGCAUUAUGUGGUACGUCCUACCGGUGGGCUUAGCUCCUUGCGGGCGGUCCAACUAAUAUCCCAUCGCGGUGCUCUUUACUGAGUGUCGAGGUGGGCCGGUACGUUUACUUUGAACAAAUUAGAGUGCUCAAAGCAGGCUACCUUCGCCUGAAUACUCUGUGCAUGGAAUAAUGGAAUAGGACCUCGGUUCUAUUUUGUUGGUUUUCGGAACCCCGAGGUAAUGAUUAAUAGGGACAGAUGGGGGCAUUCGUAUUGCGACGUUAGAGGUGAAAUUCUUGGAUCGUCGCAAGACGGACAGAAGCGAAAGCAUUUGCCAAAAAUGUUUUCAUUAAUCAAGAACGAAAGUUAGAGGUUCGAAGGCGAUCAGAUACCGCCCUAGUUCUAACCAUAAACGAUGCCAGCUAGCGAUCCGCCGAAGUUCCUCCGAUGACUCGGCGGGCAGCUUCCGGGAAACCAAAGCUUUUGGGUUCCGGGGGAAGUAUGGUUGCAAAGCUGAAACUUAAAGGAAUUGACGGAAGGGCACCACCAGGAGUGGAGCCUGCGGCUUAAUUUGACUC
RNAcentral lists this ribosomal RNA (784 nucleotides) under Nomada flava. Its description in RNAcentral is "SSU rRNA". It matches the Rfam family "Eukaryotic small subunit ribosomal RNA", at positions 457 to 1201 of the family's 1831-position model. RNAcentral also lists the same sequence under 2 other names. The record is from RNAcentral. Lineage: Eukaryota; Metazoa; Arthropoda; Insecta; Hymenoptera; Apidae.